RNAcentral lists this ribosomal RNA (497 nucleotides) under uncultured bacterium. Its description in RNAcentral is "partial 16S ribosomal RNA". It matches the Rfam family "Bacterial small subunit ribosomal RNA", at positions 28 to 507 of the family's 1533-position model. The record is from RNAcentral.
GAUGAACGCUGGCGGCGUGCCUAAUACAUGCAAGUCGAGCGAUCGGACGAGAAGCUUGCUUCUCUGAUAUUAGCGGCGGACGGGUGAGUAAUACGUGGAUAACCUACCCAUAAGACUGGGAUAACUUCGGGAAACCGGAGCUAAUACCGGAUAAUAUUUUGAACCGCAUGGUUCAAAAGUGAAAGACGGUCUUGCUGUCACUUAUAGAUGGAUCCGCGCUGCAUUAGCUAGUUGGUAAGGUAACGGCUUACCAAGGCAACGAUGCAUAGCCGACCUGAGAGGGUGAUCGGCCACACUGGAACUGAGACACGGUCCAGACUCCUACGGGAGGCAGCAGUAGGGAAUCUUCCGCAAUGGGCGAAAGCCUGACGGAGCAACGCCGCGUGAGUGAUGAAGGUCUUCGGAUCGUAAAACUCUGUUAUUAGGGAAGAACAUAUGUGUAAGUAACUGUGCACAUCUUGACGGUACCUAAUCAGAAAGCCACGGCUAACUACGUG